AUGAUUUUGGUUUGAAAAAAGAUUUAUUGUAUUUCAUAGGCAAAAUCAUAAUUUUAUCAAGUUCUGAUUCAGAAGUCUCAAGAGUAAGAACACAAGAUUUGUAAUCUAUUGGAGGUAAUUUUAAUAUUUUUGAAUAUAUAUUUUAAAAGAAAAUCAUGUUUAUAUACUUGACUCGACCCCAUGAGUCGACUCAUGGCAAAAGGGGCUGAACGGCAUGCUGAAUUCUUUGGCUGGCACACUCUGUGAGUCGACCCCAUGAGUCGACCCCUGAGCAUGAGUCGACCCUAUGAGUCGACCUCUGCUACUGUGUAGGCUAAAAUUAUAGAACAGUCAUUUUCUAUUCUGUGCCACAGAAGUCGACCCCAUGAGUCGACUCAUGAGCAUGAGUCGACCCUAUGAGUC
This 402-nucleotide long non-coding RNA is filed under the name Elaeis guineensis (African oil palm). Its description in RNAcentral is "long non-coding RNA (EGUI_LNC060668)". Lineage: Eukaryota; Viridiplantae; Streptophyta; Magnoliopsida; Arecales; Arecaceae. The record is from RNAcentral.